Unclassified non-coding RNA from Vespa mandarinia (Asian giant hornet), 8427 nucleotides. NCBI's taxonomy places the organism in Eukaryota, Metazoa, Arthropoda, Insecta, Hymenoptera, Vespidae. The record is from RefSeq and is a predicted model, not a curated record.
GGCGUCGCUGGCGUCGAGCCGGCGACGUAUCGUCGACUCGAGCGUGUCGUGUGCCGUCGUCGUCGUCGUCGUUGUCGUUGUCGUUGUCGUUGUCGUCGUCGUCGUCGUCAUCUUAAUCGUCGUCUCUUCGGGAUUAGUGCGUGUCUUUCGUUUUAGAUCUAACAACGAUCCUUUCGUCAAACGAGAUAGAAGGAGAAAGAGAGAGAGAGAGAGAGAGAGAGAGAGAGAGCGAGCGAGCGAGCGAGCGAGAGAGAGAGAGAGAAGCUCGCUAAGCUUUCCAAGUCUCUUUUCUUUUUGCGGCAUUUCUUUCUCUGCCCGCCACCAAAAGUACUUCCUUUUGAAAGAGAAAGAGAGGGAGAGGGAGAGAGACAGACUGAGAGAGAGAGAGAGAGAGAGAGAGAGAGAGAGAGAGGAAGAGAAAGACGUACAUAUUCGUAGGGUGCACUGGCCGACAGAGAGAUAAGUAAAGGGACGUUGACGUGUGCGUCGGAGAGAACUAGAGAUAGAGAUAAGAAAAGAAUGGAUUUACGAAGAAACACGGGCCGCGUACGAUAAUACUACCUCGACAUAGUUCUGCAAUCCGCCCUCGUGCGCGUCCACGGCGGAUCCGGAAGGAGGCGCGCUCGAAGGGAAAGAAUAGGGAGAGGUAAAUUCGCGCACCAUUAACGAGCCUCUCUUCCCGGAAACGAUCGAGCUCGCGCGCCAACCGAUUUAGGAUCAUACCGGCCGACCGAUCGACCGACCGACCGACCGACCGACCGACCGACCGACCGACCGACCGACCGACCGACCGACCAACAGACCGACAGAUCGACAGACCAAACGACCGAAAGAACAAGAGGAGUGAACACGGUGCGAUAAACUACCCUGUAGUGCCGCGAACACGUCCAACUUCCAAGUUGUCUUCGUCGCCACCUCUUCUCUCGUUUCUCUUUUCACGCGUGUAUAUACAUAUAUAUAUAUAUAUAUAUAUAUAUACACACAUACAUACAUACAUAUAUAUUUAUAUAUAUAUAUAUGUAUACGCGUACUGCUCACGUAUACGUUGGUACAUAUAUAUAAAUAUAAUCGAACGUACCCAGAUAUCUAUUUAUAAGUUUACACGAGAGAGCAAGAACAAGAGAUAGAUAGAGAGUAGCGACGACGAUCGUGACGUUGCUCGCUACUGGUGCUAGUGCUACGUUAUCUUUGGCGUGCCGUUUGUGAUGAUGAUGAUGAUGAUGGUGGUGUUGGUGAUGACGAUGGUGGUGCGUCCUUAAGAAGAAAGAAUUCGUCGGUGCGAGAGCUUACGUGAAACACGAGAAAAAGUAGAAAAGAAGGCAAGUCCCGGUUACACGCUCGAACCGCCUUUAUUUUUCUUCGACGACGCUCUUUCUUCUCGCGAGAGAAAAACGAAGAAGAUAAAAAGUCAUCUUCUAUCCUAGUACUAGAAGAGAGGACGCGAAUCGAGCGCGAACGACAUCGCGUUUAAGACGGAUAUGAGGAGCGGAUACGCCCGGCUCACGUGAUACACACACGAUCGUCUCUAUCACCGACGGUUCUCUCUUCCAAAGAUAUGCGGUCAGGGAGGAAGGUUCGUAGGAGCCCAGUGCCGUAGCAUGCCGGCGUGCUGGGUGAGCCGUUGGUGCGCCAUUGAGUCCGCCGUGGUGGUAAGACAGUAUCUCGAGGAGGGUACUCGAAGCAGUAGCAGCAGGAGCAGGAGGAGGAGGAGAAGAAGAAGAAGAAGAAGGAGCGAUCUCGGCUGGAGAAGCAGCACGGAGCUCGACACUACCGACCGAUGAGCGCGGGGGGGGAUGGGGGCUCGGCGUUGGCUCCGUCAGGGCUGCCGGGCUCCCAGCCGAUGGCCGCGACCCCCUCGACCGCGACCCCCCCCGUCACCGGGCAGCACCAGCAGAUCGGACUAUCGGCCGUCGUCGAUCCUCAUCAGGCCCAUUCACAGACGGGCCCUGCCGGUCCCACUGGUCCUUCUACCGGCGCUCCGGCCGGUGCUGCUCCCAAGGCCGCGACCAAGAGGCCCGCCCGCCGUGCUGGCAAACCGCCACCCGACAGGCCUAUCAGGGCUCUCUUUUGCCUGCCCCUCCAAAAUCCCAUAAGAAAGCUCUGCAUCGGCGUCGUCGAGUGGAAACCCUUCGAAUGGCUCAUCUUAAUGACGAUAUUUGCAAAUUGCAUCGCCUUGGCCUUCUACACGCCGUAUCCGUUCGGUGAUUCUAAUCAGACCAACCAGUAUUUGGAAAAGAUAGAAUACGUAUUUCUCGUCAUUUUUACGGCCGAGUGCAUAAUGAAGAUCAUAGCCUACGGAUUCGUCGCCCAUCCGGGCGCUUAUCUGCGCAACGGCUGGAACGUGCUGGACUUUACGAUAGUCGUCAUAGGAAUGAUGAGCACGGUAUUGGCGAUGCUCAUGAAAGAAGGAUUCGACGUUAAGGCGUUGAGGGCUUUUCGAGUGUUACGACCUCUCAGGCUGGUUUCCGGUGUACCAAGUCUUCAGGUGGUCCUAAACUCCAUUUUAAGAGCGAUGAUACCGCUUUUGCACAUUGCCUUGUUGGUUCUCUUCGUCAUCAUCAUCUACGCUAUCAUCGGCCUCGAGCUCUUUUCCGGGAAGAUGCACAAGACGUGUAGACACAACGUGACUGAUGAACUAAUGAGCGAUCCCGUUCCCUGUGGUCCUAUGGGUUUUCAGUGCAGUACCCUCGGACCCGAUUUCUACUGCAGCAAUCAAUUUUGGGAAGGUCCGAACGAUGGCAUCACGAACUUCGAUAAUUUUGGUUUGGCCAUGCUCACAGUCUUUCAAUGCAUCACCCUAGAGGGUUGGACCGAAGUACUUUACAACAUAGAAGAUGCGAUGGGAAGUUCUUGGCAAUGGAUUUAUUUUAUUUCCAUGGUUAUACUCGGAGCCUUCUUCGUGAUGAAUCUAAUUCUCGGUGUGUUGUCUGGUGAGUUCUCAAAGGAAAGAGAGAAGGCAAAGGCUCGGGGUGACUUUCACAAGCUCAGGGAGAAACAACAAAUCGAGGACGAUCUCAGAGGAUAUCUCGAUUGGAUAACGCAAGCCGAGGAUAUCGAGCCGGAAGCCGACGAGCCCAAAGCACAAGAUGGAAAGUCGAAACAACAAAACGAAAUGGAGAGCACGGAUCAAUUGGAGGGCGACGAGGAAGGGAUCCAACAGGAACCCGUUUGGAAGAGAAAGAAGAGAGAUUUAGACAGGGUGAAUCGACGAUUGCGACGAGCCUGUAGAAAAGCCGUGAAAUCGCAGGCCUUUUAUUGGCUCAUCAUAGUGCUCGUUUUUUUAAACACCGUAGUUCUCGCGACCGAGCAUUACAAUCAACCGCAUUGGUUGGACGAUUUUCAAGAGAUCACCAAUAUGUUUUUCAUCGCUCUCUUCUCCAUGGAGAUGAUACUGAAGAUGUACAGUUUAGGGUUUCAGGGUUACUUCGUCUCUUUGUUCAAUCGUUUCGAUUGUUUCGUCGUGAUCGGCUCGAUAACCGAGAUGAUCCUUACGAACACGAACGUAAUGCCGCCUCUCGGAGUUUCCGUGCUCCGUUGCGUCAGACUAUUGAGAGUAUUCAAAGUAACAAAAUAUUGGAGAUCACUCUCCAACUUGGUGGCUUCUUUGUUGAAUUCGAUUCAAUCGAUCGCCUCUCUCUUACUUUUGCUCUUCCUCUUCAUCGUAAUUUUUGCACUCUUAGGAAUGCAGGUUUUCGGUGGAAAGUUUAAUUUCGCCGAUCUCCAGGACAAACCAAGGCACAAUUUUGAUAGUUUUUGGCAAAGCUUACUCACCGUCUUUCAGAUAUUAACCGGUGAGGACUGGAAUGCGGUAAUGUACGUUGGAAUUCGAGCUUACGGGGGCGUUUCUAGUCCCGGCGUUAUAGCCUGCACUUACUUCAUUGUUCUCUUCAUAUGCGGUAACUAUAUCCUCCUGAACGUCUUCUUGGCCAUCGCAGUUGACAAUCUCGCAGAUGCGGAAUCGUUAACGGCCAUUGAGAAGGAGGCUGAAGAGGAGGCGGAGAAGAACAAAUCUCACAGUGGGUCGCCGGCGAGAGAUGAGAUCAGCGGUGAAGGUGGAGAUGGCGGAGAAACUGGCGGCGAAGACGAGGGUGGUGCUACGGAUAUGGAGCACGAUCCUAAUGAGACAAUGGAGGAUUACGAGGCUGCUUUGGACACUGAAACAUCGGAGAAGAGCGACGACGGGAACACGCACAAAGUUCGUUUAAAUAUCGAAAUAUCGGACGAGGAAGCGGAGGAGGAAGAGGCCGAGCAGAACGAGAUACAUGAAGAAGGACAAGAAGUAUCGGCCAGGCCACGAAGAAUGUCCGAAUACAACACGGCUACGAAAAAGCAACCCAUCCCACCGGGUUCCUCCUUUUUUAUUUUUUCUCAAAACAACAGAUUUCGAGUAUUUUGUCAUUGGCUUUGUAAUCACAGCUACUUCGGUAAUGUGAUAUUAGCCUGCAUCAUGAUAUCGUCGGCCAUGUUGGCUGCCGAGGAUCCAUUAAGUUCUUCUUCAUACAGAAAUCAGAUCCUGAAUUACUUCGAUUAUUUCUUUACUAGCGUUUUCACGAUCGAGAUCUGCCUGAAGAUGAUAUCGUACGGAUUUGUUAUUCACGACGGUGCUUUCUGCCGAUCGGCCUUCAAUCUACUCGACCUUCUUGUCGUCUGCGUAUCCCUCGUUUCUAUAGUCUGGAGUUCUGGCGCUAUAUCGGUGGUGAAGAUACUCAGGGUGUUGCGCGUUCUCAGACCGUUGCGCGCCAUCAACCGUGCCAAGGGAUUAAAGCACGUAGUACAAUGCGUCAUCGUAGCGGUAAAGACUAUCGGAAACAUAGUCCUCGUCACCAGCCUCCUGCAGUUCGUGUUCGCCGUCAUAGGCGUACAACUUUUCAAGGGCAAGUUUUUCUAUUGUACCGAUGCAUCGAAAAUGACGAAGGAAGAAUGCCAGGGUACUUAUCUGGAAUUCGAGAAUGGCAAUAUCAAUAGACCUGUCGUUAGAGAAAGAGAGUGGGAGCAACGUCGUUUCCACUUUGAUGAUGUUGCCAAGGCGAUGCUGACCCUCUUUACGGUUUCAACAUUCGAAGGUUGGCCAGGCCUUUUGAAUUGGUCGAUCGAUUCGAACAAGGAAGAUCACGGACCGAUUCACAACUUUCGGCCGAUCGUGGCCGCCUACUACAUCAUCUACAUCAUCAUCAUAGCAUUUUUCAUGGUCAACAUCUUCGUGGGUUUCGUCAUUGUCACCUUUCAGAACGAGGGUGAACAGGAGUACAAAAAUUGCGAGCUCGAUAAGAAUCAGCGGAACUGUAUCGAGUUCGCGUUGAAAGCGAAACCCGUUCGACGAUAUAUACCGAAGCACCGAAUACAAUACAAAGUUUGGUGGUUCGUCACUUCUCAACCGUUUGAAUAUACGAUAUUCACAUUGAUCAUGAUAAAUACCGUCACCCUUGCGAUGAAGUUCUAUCAGCAACCAACGCUAUACACCGAAGUUCUCGACGUCCUCAAUAUGAUUUUCACCGCAGUGUUCGCCCUCGAGUUCGUCUUCAAACUCGCAGCUUUUCGAUUCAAGAAUUACUUUGGCGAUGCCUGGAACGUAUUUGACUUCAUUAUCGUUCUCGGAAGUUUCAUCGACAUCGUAUACUCGGAAGUUAACCCCGGCUCGACCAUCAUUUCUAUUAAUUUCUUUCGACUAUUUCGAGUGAUGCGCCUCGUUAAACUGUUGAGCAGAGGAGAGGGCAUAAGAACGCUUCUUUGGACCUUUAUUAAAUCCUUCCAGGCUCUACCCUACGUAGCCCUUCUUAUAAUAAUGCUUUUUUUCAUUUACGCGGUAAUAGGCAUGCAGGUAUUCGGAAAGAUCGCGAUAGACGACGAAACGUCUAUAUAUCGUAACAACAACUUUCAAUCGUUUCCCCAAGCAGUCCUCGUAUUAUUCAGAUCUGCGACGGGUGAAUCUUGGCAAGAGAUCAUGAUGGACUGUUCCGCUCAACCGAGCAAAGUAAAGUGCGAUCCAAACAGCGACGAAUAUAACAAUCCAUCCGGUUGCGGAUCGGACAUAGCAUUUCCUUACUUCAUAUCAUUCUACGUUCUCUGUUCCUUUCUGAUAAUCAAUCUAUUCGUUGCCGUCAUUAUGGACAACUUUGAUUACUUGACGAGAGACUGGUCGAUAUUGGGACCGCAUCAUUUGGACGAGUUUAUUCGUUUAUGGUCCGAAUACGAUCCCGACGCGAAAGGUCGUAUCAAGCAUCUCGACGUUGUAACGCUCCUACGAAAAAUAUCACCACCCUUGGGUUUCGGUAAACUAUGUCCGCACAGGGUCGCCUGCAAGAGGCUGGUGUCGAUGAACAUGCCGUUGAACAGCGACGGCACGGUCCUUUUUAAUGCGACCCUAUUCGCCGUUGUAAGAACAUCACUGAGGAUUAAAACGGAAGGAAACAUCGACGAUGCUAACGCCGAACUUAGAGCCGUGAUUAAGAAGAUUUGGAAGAGAACCAGUCCAAAACUUUUAGACCAAGUCGUACCACCGCCAGGAGUCGACGACGAGGUAACGGUCGGCAAGUUUUACGCGACUUUCCUCAUCCAGGAUUACUUUCGUAGAUUCAAGAAACGCAAAGAACAGGAAAUGAGAGAGGGUGACAAGGAAUGUCAUAAUACGGUAACGCUACAGGCUGGCUUGAGAACUUUGCACGAAGCAGGUCCCGAAUUGAAGAGAGCGAUUUCUGGUAAUUUGGAAGAGCUUAUGGACGACAAUCCGGAACCUACGCACAGGAGAAAUCAUUCGCUCUUUGGUAGCGUCUGGUCAAGCAUGCGUAAAGGACAUCACAGCUUCCAUAGAGCGAGAUCGCUCAAAGUGAACUCCAAGGCUUCCCCCACAAAUUCCAUAGACUUUCUGUCGUAUUCCUCUUUGCAGAGGGGCGUCGGAUCAGACGCUCCUAAUCAAAUCACCGCAAGAUCUCAUCAAGUCGUGCCAAACGUAGCCGGUGGUCUAAGCGACAGUGCGAUGAACCAAAUGGGAAUGGACCCGAGAUUAACUGGCGUCGAAGAAAAUAUUCCCUUGAGACCUCUCGCCGUCUUUGGCAAUACUACGCAACGUUCAGCCUAUCAUAGCUCUUACAAAAUGGUCGGUGGACCGGGUAGCGGUAACUAUCUUCAUCCCAAUAGCGAAUAUGUUCCAUCCUGGGCCGGGGAGAGCAACGGAAGCGUCGGAGCCGAACGGCUUUCUCAUAGUUUGCCUGGUAGUCCUGCCGAUCGAAAGCCGAACUUCGAAGUGAUCGGAAGCGCCGAGAGUUUGGUCGGACGGGUGCUCGUUGAACAGGGACUGGGCAAGUAUUGCGACCCAGAUUUCGUGAGGUAUACGUCUCGCGAGAUGCAGGAGGCUUUGGACAUGACGCGAGAGGAGAUGGAUCGAGCGGCUCAUCAGUUGCUUUUGCAAGAGCGACGCAGUCAAUCGUUCAGGUAUCACCAACAGCAACCACAGCAGCAACUACAGCAGCCACAACAGCAGCAACAGCCUGACAUGGACCAACAGUGGAAUCCCGCGUAUCAGCAGACGAUCGGAAUAGGUUAUCAGCCCUUGCAGGAGCAACCACCGAGUGGUACGCAGCGAACGUUCCAUCAUCAGCCGAGUUACCAUCGUCAAGGACAACAGCAGCAACCACCCUCUUAGCAGCAGGAAGACGAUCGCUCGGUCAAGAGAAUUCCGUCUAUGUAGCCUCGAGUUUGAAAACUCCUUUCAGACCGGUCCAAGUCGCGAGCCGUUCGAUCUUCCUCCGAUCGAGAGAGAAAGAGAGAGAGAGAGAGAGAGAGAGAGAGAGAGAGAGACACUUUUCACAGAUCAUUUCACACUCGUACAAGACGCGACCGUUGUGUACCACACUACCCAAAAAUGCCCCUUUUCUACUUUCCGAAUAUUUUUAUCGAUCGAUCGACGAGAAUCCACUUUUCUUCGGAUUUCGACGGCACGUUCGAUUUUCGAGGAAGCAUAGAAUGACGGAUCGCGCGUUAGGUUCCAAUGAUGUCGCAAUGCGUAAGAGAAAAAGUAAAAUAAACGGUGCAACGAGUAUUCUAUUGCACACGAACAGCAUGAAUUCGAACGAAAUGAGAAACAAAAACUACAACGAUUUCUAUGCUGCGCACACGCGUGUAUGUAGGUCCAACAAGCGAGGCACCAGCAUGUACAUUGGCAGGAAUUCAAUAAUAUCUAACAUUCAUUCUCAUCUUACGAUUCGUAUCAACUGAAAUUCCUACAAUGGAAAAUUGGAAAUGACAUAGAAAAUGGUCAUAAUUAAUUAACGAAUAAGUUACAAAGAAAUUCAUCUUAAGGAGAGUUAAUAUUAUUUCAUGACUUGUGCUGCUUUUUUCGCUUUGACGAGCUCCACGAGUUCCUAUGGAAAGAGAAAAAAAGAGAGGAGAGAAAAAAAAAAGAAACGAAAAUACAAGAUAUUGUUGAUUAAA